This 834-nucleotide ribosomal RNA is filed under the name archaeon enrichment culture. RNAcentral describes it as "bacterial SSU rRNA". It matches the Rfam family "Archaeal small subunit ribosomal RNA", at positions 20 to 859 of the family's 1478-position model. The record is from RNAcentral.
GCGGCCACUGCUAUCAAGUUCCGACUAAGCCAUGCGAGUCAAGGUAUCGUAAGAUGCCGGCAAACUGCUCAGUAACACGUGGAUAAUCUAACCUUGAGUAAGGGAUAACUUCGGGAAACUGAAGGUAAUACCUUAUAAUUGCUUAAAACUGGAAUGUUUUUGCAAUAAAAGUUACGACGCUCAAGGAUGAGUCUGCGACCUAUCAGGUAGUAGGUGGUGUAAUGGACCACCUAGCCUCAGACGGGUACGGGCCCUGGGAGGGGUAGCCCGGAGAUGGACUCUGAGACAUAAGUCCAGGCCCUACGGGGCGCAGCAGGCGCGAACACUGUGCAAUGCGCGAAAGCGCGACACGGGGAGCUUGAGUGUCUUGGCAUAGCCAAGACUUUUCUCAUUCCUAAAAAGCUCAAGGAAUAAGAGCUGGGUAAGACGGGUGCCAGCCGCCGCGGUAACACCCGCGGCUCGAGUGGUAGUCACUUUUAUUGAGCCUAAAGCGUUUGUAGCCGGAUUUGUAAAUCUCUAGGAAAAUACUUCUGCUUAACUGAAGAAAUUUUGGAGAGACUGCAAAUCUAGGGACCGGGUGAGGUUGAAUGUACUUCUGGGGUAGGGGUAAAAUCCUGUAAUCCUGGAAGGACGACCGGUGGCGAAGGCGUUCAACUAGAACGGAUCCGACGGUGAGGAACGAAGGCUAGGGGAGCAAACCGGAUUAGAUACCCGGGUAGUCCUAGCUGUAAACACUGCCCACUUGGUGUUGCAUCUCCGGUAAGGGGGUGCAGUGCCGUAGCGAAGGUGUUAAGUGGGCCGCUUGGGGAGUAUGGUCGCAAGGCUGAAACUUAA